RNAcentral lists this ribosomal RNA (433 nucleotides) under uncultured bacterium. RNAcentral describes it as "partial 16S ribosomal RNA". It matches the Rfam family "Bacterial small subunit ribosomal RNA", at positions 29 to 507 of the family's 1533-position model. The record is from RNAcentral.
AACGAACGCUGGCGGCAUGCCUAACACAUGCAAGCCGAACGAGACCUUCGGGUCUAGUGGCGCACGGGUGCGUAACGCGUGGGAACCUGCCCUUAGGUUCGGAAUAACUCCCCGAAAUGGGUGCUAAUACCGGAUAAUGUCUUCGGACCAAAGAUUUAUCGCCUUUGGAUGGGCCCGCGUUGGAUUAGCUCGUUGGUAGGGUAAAAGCCUACCAAGGCGACGAUCCAUAGCUGGUCUGAGAGGAUGAUCAGCCACACUGGGACUGAGACACGGCCCAGACUCCUACGGGAGGCAGCAGUGGGGAAUAUUGGACAAUGGGCGAAAGCCUGAUCCAGCAAUGCCGCGUGAGUGAUGAAGGCCUUAGGGUUGUAAAGCUCUUUUACCCGGGAUGAUAAUGACAGUACCGGGAGAAUAAGCUCCGGCUAACUCCGUG